AUGACGAAGACAACAUUAUGGAGAUGGUUGAAGGAGGACAGACCGAAGCGCCAUACAAAUUCAAUUAAAUCCACACUGACUGAUGACAACAAGCUAGGUCGGAUUCGGUUUUGUUUAUCCAUGUUGGAUGAACUAAGUGUGCCUGAGGAACCCACAUUUAAAGGCAUGUACAAUGUCAUCCAUAUUGAUGAGAAGUGGUUCUACCGCACUAAAGGUACUCAGAACUACUACUUGGCACCUGAUGAAGAAGAACCCUAUCGCAGCACACAGAGCAAGGAAUUUAUUGAGAAAGUGAUGUUCUUGGCAGCGGUAGCAAGGCCUCGUUAUGAUGAUCAUGGUGUCAUGACAUUUGAUGGCAAGAUUGGAAUUUGGCCGUUCACAUACCAGGACUUGGCAAAGAGGCGUAGCCCUUACAGAGAGAGGGGGGAAGAGAAGAUGUCCCCCGGUAAAAUUGUUGAUAUUGUUGUGAAGGUGAAAAAAGCAUAUGACACGUACCCGGCCAAGAGAAGCAACCGUAUUUUUCUGACCCUUCAGUCAUGCAUGCGCGAGGUACUGAAGCAGAAAGGAGGUAACCGGUACAAGGUCCCGCACAUGAGGAAGUCAUUUCUGGCGGCACUCGAAAUGCUUCCGGACGUAGUACCCCGUGAUGCUGAUGUUGUAACUGUUGCUAUUGAGGCCCUUCCAGAUGCUUGA
This 693-nucleotide ribosomal RNA is filed under the name Triticum aestivum (bread wheat). RNAcentral describes it as "partial small subunit ribosomal RNA". The record is from RNAcentral. Lineage: Eukaryota; Viridiplantae; Streptophyta; Magnoliopsida; Poales; Poaceae.